This 497-nucleotide ribosomal RNA is filed under the name uncultured bacterium. RNAcentral's name for it is "partial 16S ribosomal RNA". It matches the Rfam family "Bacterial small subunit ribosomal RNA", at positions 28 to 507 of the family's 1533-position model. The record is from RNAcentral.
GAUGAACGCUGGCGGCGUGCCUAAUACAUGCAAGUCGAGCGAACAGACGAGGAGCUUGCUCCUCUGACGUUAGCGGCGGACGGGUGAGUAACACGUGGAUAACCUACCUAUAAGACUGGGAUAACUUCGGGAAACCGGAGCUAAUACCGGAUAAUAUAUUGAAUCGCAUGGUUCAAUAGUGAAAGACGGUUUUGCUGUCACUUAUAGAUGGAUCCGCGCCGCAUUAGCUAGUUGGUAAGGUAACGGCUUACCAAGGCAACGAUGCGUAGCCGACCUGAGAGUGUGAUCAGCCACACUGGAACUGAGACACGGUCCAGACUCCUACGGGAGGCAGCAGUAGGGAAUCUUCCGCAAAGGGCGAAAGCCUGACGGAGCAACGCCGCGUGAGUGAUGAAGGUCUUCGGAUCGUAAAACUCUGUUAUUAGGGAAGAACAAAUGUGUAAGUAACUAUGCACGUCUUGACGGUACCUAAUCAGAAAGCCACGGCUAACUACGUG